RNAcentral lists this long non-coding RNA (1288 nucleotides) under Felis catus (domestic cat). RNAcentral describes it as "lncRNA (ENSFCAG00000047574.1)". Lineage: Eukaryota; Metazoa; Chordata; Mammalia; Carnivora; Felidae. The record is from RNAcentral.
GUAAAAGAGCAAGUAUAAACUUCUUUUCAUAAUGGCUAUUUAGGGUCUGUUAUCAAAAUAUAGUAAUAAGAUUCAUAUGUGUGAUAAAUAUGUUGCUAUCCACUCUCCUAUCAGAGAGUUCAAUCUAGUUAUAAAAACACUGAACUAUUAUUAUAUGAUGUAUGCUCUCACUUGAAGGUAGCUAAAUUGAUGUUUUGCCAUAUUUUAAGAACCCUUUCCCUACUCCCUAGAUACAUGUAACAGCCUAGAAAGAUCACUGCAUAUUGAACUGUAAUGCUAAAUCAGAAAUUAUAUUAUUACUCAUAACUAGCAUCCCGCUGACUUUCACUUAAAUAUCAGGACCCAAAUUAUUUUACAUCUCACUUCAGAAAUGUGGUACAACGUGCUAUUUAAUCUUCUUGGCCUAGUCUUAGAAUUUAUCAUACACUCUCCUUUUUAUGAACCACACAAACCAUUGGUGAUAGUGACGAGAAGCACUGUAUAUAGUUUCACUGGCUUUGGAUUCUUGUAUGGUGUUUGAAAAAAUAAAAAUCAUAUCUUAUAGGUCUUGAUCGUGUAUGCCUUCCAAUCUUGAGAUGUUGAUUUAGCUGUCCUGAACGUCACAUGAUGUGCCUCUCCAUAAUCCUGUACCCAAGCCAUUGCAGAAUUGCUGACGUGACUUUGGUGUGCUGUGCCAGGGCAAAUAUAUUAUUUUGAAUUAUGCCAGCAGUGAGGAAGACACAUGAGUAUAGCUCUCAGAGUGGAAGAAAAGGCACUGAUUCUGUUCUGAGGACCAAUCAUAUGGAUGUGAAAAUUCAUGAACAGGCUGUAUCCACACACAUUACCAAUUGGAAGACGGCCUUGUCUCCAGCUUGAAUAUACUCUCCACCCCCACCUUUGAGAGGUAUCACAAUAUCUUAAAAGGGGUUUCAAAUUAAUUUUUACAUUCAAUACAUUGUGUUAGUUCUACCCACUCUAAAUGUCCCCUCCUUUUCUCCCUACAGAUCUCAGAAUUAGGAAAAGUUUUAACUUAAAACGAAUCACUUACUAUUAUUCCUACCCAAGAAUAUUUUUUAACUUAAAAAAAUAGGGGCGCCUGAGUGGCUCAGUCGGUUAAGUGUCCAACUUCAGCUCAGGUCACGAUCUCGCAGUCCGUGAGUUCGAGCCCCAUGUUCUGGGCUGAUGGCUCAGAGCCUGGAGCCUGCUUCCAAUUCUGUGUCUCCCACUCUCUCUGCCCCUCCCCCGUUCAUGCUCUGUCUCUCUCUGUCCCAAAAAUAAAUAAACGUUAAUCCAAAAUCUAUAAAGAGCU